AGUAACGGCUAUUAAUAUAUCUCAUAACGUUCUCAAGUGCUUGUUUGGGUAUUGAUAUGGAGGGCGAUCGUGGUCUAUUGACAUUGAUAGACACGUGGGUUAUCUCGUUCCAAGAAAUAAACGAGAAAUACGUACACAGUAACUGUUGAGUCAGGUACGUCAGGUACAUCAGAUCAACAGCCUUCAUUGUGACAACUGGUGGCAGCGCCUGAAAUAUAGAAUCACAGCACGGCGCUAGCACUAUGGCAGAUUCAUAUGAUGAAACGGAUAGCAGCUAUAUGUCGAAAACGAAGAUCAACUGUACGGGGAAAGGCAAGUCUAAUGACUGUAAAUUACCUUACAACCCCAGUAUGUCCUCUGAAUGUGAACUCAAAGAGUAUGACGUCACCAGAAACGGGAGGAAACUCGCCGUCAUCAUCAACAUCACGGACUUUGAAAGCAAAACGGGAUGCCCCAACGCACACACGCAAAGACGGAUGAAGCCGUCAUCACUAACAUGCUCGAACAGCUGCUAGGGUUUGAGCUUUUCCCUAAAGAAAAUCUGACAUUACAAGAUCUCACUGAUCUCUUCAAGGAAAUGCGUACCUGGGACUACAAGAACGUGGAGACGCUGGCCGUUGUCGUGAUGUCGCACGGGAACAACAGGGAGAUCUACACACAUGACGGUCAGAAGGUUGAGAUGAAAGUACUGCUAGAGAACCUCAAAGGCAAGAAGUGCAAGGGACUAGCGGGCAAGCCGAAGAUUGUGUUUAUCAAUGCGGGCAGUUGGGAAGAAUCUCCUGAAGAUCUGGAUGGUGAUUACGAUGAGGUUGAUGCAUGCGUCACUAGUAAUGAGGAGACAGAGCCCAAAGGAAAAGACUAUCUGUAUCCCAAAGGAGUGUGACUUUAUCCAUGUAUACUCUCCAGUCACAUUUGGUCACCAAAAGGCUGGCAAUGUGGAACAAGGGAACAUAUUCCUGACAGCUCUAAGUGAGAUGUGCCUCAAACUGGACAGUGAGCCUCUGGAGUUCUGUGACAUGCUGACAAGAACCAACAGACAGGUGGCACACCGAGUCAGGUCAGCUUCCAACAUCCCAGCCAGACCCUGCUUCUUCCUGUCAACUCUCACCAAGGAACUCUACCUGACCCCCAAUACAUAGACAACAAGAUGGAGGGUAUACACUUUAUGCUUACAGUCAGAUGGGAAAGCCUACAGCUCUGUUGUGUGUACACAUUUAUCAGACAAUAUGGAUUCUCCUGGCACCCAACACACAGACACCAAGGUGAAGGUCAUAUAUGUGAUGCUUACAGUCAGGGGGAUUCUGUGUUGACCCAACACAUAGACACUAAGGUUUGCAAGCUGGGUAUUGCUUUUCAGUGAUGCAGUCAACAAUAUUACUACAGCUUGUAAAUAAUCAAGUCCAGACAACCAAAGCUGUAGUUGAUAUUUAUGAAGGACCUUUAUGUUUGCAAUGAAAUAUAUGUAUUUACUUCUAAGAGGCUUUGCUCUCUUCAAAAGACAUGAGUGGCAUGAUCAAUCAUUUUGUAAAGAGUGAAUACUUAUUUUUGGUUUCAUAUUUUCAUUCAUCUUCUCAACUUGUAUCUUCUAUUUUUCUCAUCUUAACAAUCAUGAAGUGUGAAAGCAUAUGAAAAUAAAGACAUACUUGUAUUA
Molecule: RNA transcript, 1651 nt
Organism: Haliotis rubra (blacklip abalone)
Lineage: Eukaryota; Metazoa; Mollusca; Gastropoda; Lepetellida; Haliotidae
Gene name: caspase-6-like
Exons: 7
Source: RefSeq, a predicted model, not a curated record